UACGAGGGGUGCAAACGUUAUUCGGAAUGAUUGGGCGUAAAGGGUGCGUAGGCGGCAUGCUAAGUCAACUGUUAAAUUUCCCGGCCUAACCGGGAGCAUGCAGUAGAAACUGGUGUACUAGAGUAUGGAAGAGAGAAGUGGAAUUCUCGGAGUAGCGGUAAAAUGCGUAGAUCUCGAGAGGAACACCGAUGGCGAAGGCAGCUUCUUGGUCCAUUACUGACGCUGAGGCACGAAAGCGUGGGGAGCAAAUAGG
RNAcentral lists this ribosomal RNA (253 nucleotides) under uncultured bacterium. RNAcentral's name for it is "partial 16S ribosomal RNA". It matches the Rfam family "Bacterial small subunit ribosomal RNA", at positions 524 to 776 of the family's 1533-position model. The record is from RNAcentral.